AAAUUGAAGAGUUUGAUCAUGGCUCAGAUUGAACGCUGGCGGCAGGCCUAACACAUGCAAGUCGAGCGGUAGCACAGAGAGCUUGCUCUCGGGUGACGAGCGGCGGACGGGUGAGUAAUGUCUGGGAAACUGCCUGAUGGAGGGGGAUAACUACUGGAAACGGUAGCUAAUACCGCAUAAUGUCGCAAGACCAAAGUGGGGGACCUUCGGGCCUCAUGCCAUCAGAUGUGCCCAGAUGGGAUUAGCUAGUAGGUGGGGUAACGGCUCACCUAGGCGACGAUCCCUAGCUGGUCUGAGAGGAUGACCAGCCACACUGGAACUGAGACACGGUCCAGACUCCUACGGGAGGCAGCAGUGGGGAAUAUUGCACAAUGGGCGCAAGCCUGAUGCAGCCAUGCCGCGUGUGUGAAGAAGGCCUUCGGGUUGUAAAGCACUUUCAGCGGGGAGGAAGGCGUUAAGGUUAAUAACCUUGGCGAUUGACGUUACCCGCAGAAGAAGCACCGGCUAACUCCGUGCCAGCAGCCGCGGUAAUACGGAGGGUGCAAGCGUUAAUCGGAAUUACUGGGCGUAAAGCGCACGCAGGCGGUCUGUCAAGUCGGAUGUGAAAUCCCCGGGCUCAACCUGGGAACUGCAUUCGAAACUGGCAGGCUAGAGUCUUGUAGAGGGGGGUAGAAUUCCAGGUGUAGCGGUGAAAUGCGUAGAGAUCUGGAGGAAUACCGGUGGCGAAGGCGGCCCCCUGGACAAAGACUGACGCUCAGGUGCGAAAGCGUGGGGAGCAAACAGGAUUAGAUACCCUGGUAGUCCACGCUGUAAACGAUGUCGAUUUGGAGGUUGUGCCCUUGAGGCGUGGCUUCCGGAGCUAACGCGUUAAAUCGACCGCCUGGGGAGUACGGCCGCAAGGUUAAAACUCAAAUGAAUUGACGGGGGCCCGCACAAGCGGUGGAGCAUGUGGUUUAAUUCGAUGCAACGCGAAGAACCUUACCUGGUCUUGACAUCCACAGAACUUUCCAGAGAUGGAUUGGUGCCUUCGGGAACUGUGAGACAGGUGCUGCAUGGCUGUCGUCAGCUCGUGUUGUGAAAUGUUGGGUUAAGUCCCGCAACGAGCGCAACCCUUAUCCUUUGUUGCCAGCGGUCCGGCCGGGAACUCAAAGGAGACUGCCAGUGAUAAACUGGAGGAAGGUGGGGAUGACGUCAAGUCAUCAUGGCCCUUACGACCAGGGCUACACACGUGCUACAAUGGCAUAUACAAAGAGAAGCGACCUCGCGAGAGCAAGCGGACCUCAUAAAGUAUGUCGUAGUCCGGAUUGGAGUCUGCAACUCGACUCCAUGAAGUCGGAAUCGCUAGUAAUCGUAGAUCAGAAUGCUACGGUGAAUACGUUCCCGGGCCUUGUACACACCGCCCGUCACACCAUGGGAGUGGGUUGCAAAAGAAGUAGGUAGCUUAACCUUCGGGAGGGCGCUUACCACUUUGUGAUUCAUGACUGGGGUGAAGUCGUAACAAGGUAACCGUAGGGGAACCUGCGGUUGGAUCACCUCCUUA
This 1540-nucleotide ribosomal RNA is filed under the name Klebsiella pneumoniae. RNAcentral's name for it is "bacterial SSU rRNA". It matches the Rfam family "Bacterial small subunit ribosomal RNA". The record is from RNAcentral. Lineage: Bacteria; Pseudomonadati; Pseudomonadota; Gammaproteobacteria; Enterobacterales; Enterobacteriaceae.